AGCGGCGGACGGGUGAGUAAUGCUUAGGAAUCUGCCAUUUAGUGGGGGACAACAUUCCGAAAGGGAUGCUAAUACCGCAUACGUCCUACGGGAGAAAGCAGGGGAUCUUCGGACCUUGCGCUAAAUGAUGAGCCUAAGUCGGAUUAGCUAGUUGGUGGGGUAAAGGCCUACCAAGGCGACGAUCUGUAGCGGGUCUGAGAGGAUGAUCCGCCACACUGGGACUGAGACACGGCCCAGACUCCUACGGGAGGCAGCAGUGGGGAAUAUUGGACAAUGGGCGGAAGCCUGAUCCAGCCAUGCCGCGUGUGUGAAGAAGGCCUUUUGGUUGUAAAGCACUUUAAGCGAGGAGGAGGCUACCUAGAUUAAUACUCUGGGAUAGUGGACGUUACUCGCAGAAUAAGCACCGGCUAACUCUGUGCCAGCAGCCGCGGUAAUACAGAGGGUGCGAGCGUUAAUCGGAUUUACUGGGCGUAAGGCGUGCGUAGGCGGCUGAUUAAGUCGGAUGUGAAAUCCCUGAGCUUAACUUAGGAAUUGCAUUCGAUACUGGUCAGCUAGAGUAUGGGAGAGGAUGGUAGAAUUCCAGGUGUAGCGGUGAAAUGCGUAGAGAUCUGGAGGAAUACCGAUGGCGAAGGCAGCCAUCUGGCCUAAUACUGACGCUGAGGUACGAAAGCAUGGGGAGCAAACAGGAUUAGAUACCCUGGUAGUCCAUGCCGUAAACGAUGUCUACUAGC
RNAcentral lists this ribosomal RNA (731 nucleotides) under uncultured bacterium. Its description in RNAcentral is "bacterial SSU rRNA". It matches the Rfam family "Bacterial small subunit ribosomal RNA", at positions 94 to 820 of the family's 1533-position model. The record is from RNAcentral.